This 253-nucleotide ribosomal RNA is filed under the name uncultured bacterium. RNAcentral describes it as "partial 16S ribosomal RNA". It matches the Rfam family "Bacterial small subunit ribosomal RNA", at positions 524 to 776 of the family's 1533-position model. The record is from RNAcentral.
UACGGAGGUUCCGAGCGUUAUCCGGAUUUAUUGGGCUUAAAGGGUGCGCAGGCGGAUUGGUAAGUCAGCUGUGAAAGUUUACGGCUCAACCGUGAAAUUGCAGUUGAUACUGUUGGACUUGAGUAUAGAUGAGGUGGGCGGAAUUUGUGGUGUAGCGGUGAAAUGCUUAGAUAUCAGGAGGAACUCCAAUGGCGAAGGCAGCUCACUGGGGUAUAACUGACGCUGAUGCUCGAAAGUGUGGGGAUCAAACAGG